Molecule: ribosomal RNA, 380 nt
Filed under: uncultured eukaryote
Lineage: Eukaryota
Description: partial 18S ribosomal RNA
Rfam family: Eukaryotic small subunit ribosomal RNA
Source: RNAcentral
CAAUAGCGUAUAUUAAAGUUGUUGCGGUUAAAAAGCUCGUAGUUGGAUUUCUGCUGAGAACGACCGGUCCGCCCUUUGGGUGUGUAUCUGGCUCUUUCUUGGCAUCUUCUUGGUGAACGUUGCUGCACUUGACUGUGUGGAGCGCUACCCAGGACUUUUACUUUGAGGAAAUUAGAGUGUUUCAAGCAGGCAUACGCCUUGAAUACAUUAGCAUGGAAUAAUAAGAUAGGACCUCGGUUCUAUUUUGUUGGUUUCUAGAGCUGAGGUAAUGAUUAAUAGGGAUAGUUGGGGGCAUUCGUAUUUAACUGUCAGAGGUGAAAUUCUUGGAUUUACGCAAGACAAACAGCUGCGAAAGCGUCUGCCAAGGAUGUUUUCAUUAA